GUGAUCAUCUCAUGCCAAAUCCCUAUUAUCUCCACUACCCUGAGCUUUAGCAUUUUGAAUUGCCUAGAAAUAAAGCUUGACAAAGUAUCCAACCCUCCAAGCAAGCAAGAUGAGGUAACUAAGGCACAUGAAGGUCAAGCCCAAGUCACGCAACUGAUGAGUGACAAAACCAGGAUCUGAACCUGGCAGUCUGGCCCCAGAGCCCUCUCUGCCUGCUACCACCUGUCCAUCUGUGGUCAUGGAGCUGAGUCUAGUGAGAUUCCCACCAAGAACAACAACCUUUCCCUUGCCAAUAUCCUCAACUCUUUUGCAUAUAACAUCCUGAUUAGGCAACAUCAGCACGGAAGAAGCCCAGUGUCCACCUUCUUCCUGCCAACGCCUGCGCUGCUGAA
This 392-nucleotide long non-coding RNA is filed under the name Homo sapiens (human). RNAcentral describes it as "HSALNT0042115". The record is from RNAcentral. Lineage: Eukaryota; Metazoa; Chordata; Mammalia; Primates; Hominidae.